Molecule: ribosomal RNA, 484 nt
Filed under: uncultured bacterium
Lineage: Bacteria
Description: partial 16S ribosomal RNA
Rfam family: Bacterial small subunit ribosomal RNA
Source: RNAcentral
AUUGAACGCUGGCGGCAGGCCUAACACAUGCAAGUCGAGCGGAUGAAGGGAGCUUGCUCCUGGCUUCAGCGGCGGACGGGUGAGUAAUGCCUAGGAAUCUGCCUGGUCGUGGGGGAUAACGUCCGGUAACGGGCGCUAAUACCGCAUCCGUCCUGAGGGUGAAAGUGGGGGAUCUUUGGACCUCACGCUAUCAGAUGAGCCUAGGGCGGAUUAGCUAGUUGGUGGGGUAAAGGCCUACCAAGGCGACGAUCCGUAACUGGUCUGAGAGGAUGAUCAGUCACACUGGAACUGAGACACGGUCCAGACUCCUACGGGAGGCAGCAGUGGGGAAUAUUGGACAAUGGGCGAAAGCCUGAUCCAGCCAUGCCGCGUGUGUGAAGAAGGUCUUCGGAUUGUAAAGCACUUUAAGUUGGGAGGAAGGGCAGUAAGUUAAUACCUUGCUGUUUUGACGUUACCAACAGAAUAAGCACCGGCUAACUUCGUG